AGGGAAUCUUCGGCAAUGGGGGCAACCCUGACCGAGCAACGCCGCGUGAGUGAAGAAGGUUUUCGGAUCGUAAAGCUCUGUUGUAAGAGAGGAACGAGUGUGAGAGUGGAAAGUUCACACUGUGACGGUAACUUACCAGAAAGGGACGGCUAACUACGUGCCAGCAGCCGCGGUAAUACGUAGGUCCCGAGCGUUAUCCGGAUUUAUUGGGCGUAAAGCGAGCGCAGGCGGUUAGAUAAGUCUGAAGUUAAAGGCUGUGGCUUAACCAUAGUACGCUUUGGAAACUGUUUAACUUGAGUGCAAAAGGGGAGAGUGGAAUUCCAUGUGUAGCGGUGAAAUGCGUAGAUAUAUGGAGGAACACCGGUGGCGAAAGCGGCUCUCUGGUCUGUAACUGACGCUGAGGCUCGAAAGCGUGGGGAGCAAACAGGAUUAGAUACCCUGGUAGUCCACGCCGUAAACGAUGAGUGCUAGGUGUUGGGUCCUUUCCGGGACUCAGUGCCGCAGCUAACGCAUUAAGCACUCCGCCUGGGGAGUACGACCGCAAGGUUG
Molecule: ribosomal RNA, 549 nt
Filed under: uncultured bacterium
Lineage: Bacteria
Description: bacterial SSU rRNA
Rfam family: Bacterial small subunit ribosomal RNA
Source: RNAcentral